GACGAACGCUGGCGGCGUGCUUAACACAUGCAAGUCGAACGGAAAGGCCCUGCUUUUGUGGGGUGCUCGAGUGGCGAACGGGUGAGUAACACGUGAGUAACCUGCCCUUGACUUUUGGAUAACUUCAGGAAACUGGGGCUAAUACCGGAUAGGAGCUCCUGCUGCAUGGUGGGGGUUGGAAAGUUUCGGCGGUUGGGGAUGGACUCGCGGCUUAUCAGCUUGUUGGUGGGGUAGUGGCUUACCAAGGCUUUGACGGGUAGCCGGUCUGAGAGGGUGACCGGCCACAUUGGGACUGAGAUACGGCCCAGACUCCUACGGGAGGCAGCAGUGGGGAAUAUUGCACAAUGGGCGGAAGCCUGAUGCAGCAACGCCGCGUGCGGGAUGACGGCCUUCGGGUUGUAAACCGCUUUCGCCUGUGACGAAGCGUGAGUGACGGUAAUGGGUAAAGAAGCACCGGCUAACUACGUG
RNAcentral lists this ribosomal RNA (468 nucleotides) under uncultured bacterium. RNAcentral's name for it is "partial 16S ribosomal RNA". It matches the Rfam family "Bacterial small subunit ribosomal RNA", at positions 28 to 507 of the family's 1533-position model. The record is from RNAcentral.